GAAAAGAGAACCCUUCUACACUGUUGGUGGGAAUGUAAGUUGAUACAGCCAAUACAGAAAGCAUCAUGGAGAUUGCUCAAAACAUUAAAAAUAGAACUACCAUAUGAUCCAGCAAUCCUACCUCUGGGGAUUUAUCCAAAAGACCUGAAAUCAGGAGCUCAAAGAGGAAUCUGCAACCCCGUGUUCACUGCGGCCUCGUUCACAACAGCCAAGACACAGAAAUAACCUAAUGCCGUUCACCAACAAACGGAUAAAGAAAACGUGCCUCCGAAAUGAGAGGGCACUGUCUCCCCGUUCUGAGCUUCCUCUCCCAGGUCUUGAGUUCCAGUCCUUCCUUUGUUCCGGACGCGAGGCCACAGAGAAGAGUGCUCAGGUCUCACAGCCAGCAGCUGUGGAAGUCACCAUUCUCUGCCACUUAAUAGCCUCAGGCACUUGAGAAACAUCAUUUAACUUCAUGCAACCACUUCACAGAGGAGAAGACUAUCGCCCAGAGAAGCUCAGUGACUGUCAAGGUCCUGGGGCAGAACCAGGUGAAAGCCAUGUCACAGAGUUCAAGCCUUCUGCUCUGCGCCUCCCUGCUGGGGGAGCUGGCCAGGGGGCCAGCCAGGUGGGCAGGGCCAGGUGAAAUGGGCCAGGUGGGUAGGUCAAGUGAGCAAGGCUAGUUGGGCAGGCCGGGUGGGCCCUGCCAGGUGAGCAGGGCCAGGUGGGCUAGGCCAAGUGGGCAAGGCCAGGUGAGCAGGGCCAGGUGGGUGGGCCAGGUGGGUAGGGCAAGUGGGCAAGGCUAGGUGGGAA
RNAcentral lists this long non-coding RNA (792 nucleotides) under Equus caballus (horse). Its description in RNAcentral is "lncRNA (ENSECAG00000052936.1)". Lineage: Eukaryota; Metazoa; Chordata; Mammalia; Perissodactyla; Equidae. The record is from RNAcentral.